ACGAACGCUGGCGGCGUGCCUAAUACAUGCAAGUCGAACGCAUUUUCUUUCACCGUAGCUUGCUACACCGAAAGAAAAUGAGUGGCGAACGGGUGAGUAACACGUGGGUAACCUGCCCAUCAGCGGGGGAUAACACUUGGAAACAGGUGCUAAUACCGCAUAAUUCCAUUUACCGCAUGGUAGAUGGAUGAAAGGCGCUUUUGCGUCACUGAUGGAUGGACCCGCGGUGCAUUAGCUAGUUGGUGGGGUAACGGCCUACCAAGGCUGCGAUGCAUAGCCGACCUGAGAGGGUGAUCGGCCACACUGGGACUGAGACACGGCCCAGACUCCUACGGGAGGCAGCAGUAGGGAAUCUUCGGCAAUGGACACAAGUCUGACCGAGCAACGCCGCGUGAGUGAAGAAGGUUUUCGGAUCGUAAAACUCUGUUGUUAGAGAAGAACAAGGAUGAGAGUGGAAAGUUCAUCCCUUGACGGUAGCUAACCAGAAAGCCACGGCUAACUACGUG
RNAcentral lists this ribosomal RNA (506 nucleotides) under uncultured bacterium. Its description in RNAcentral is "partial 16S ribosomal RNA". It matches the Rfam family "Bacterial small subunit ribosomal RNA", at positions 29 to 507 of the family's 1533-position model. The record is from RNAcentral.